RNAcentral lists this long non-coding RNA (918 nucleotides) under Monodelphis domestica (gray short-tailed opossum). RNAcentral describes it as "lncRNA (ENSMODG00000041288.1)". The record is from RNAcentral. Lineage: Eukaryota; Metazoa; Chordata; Mammalia; Didelphimorphia; Didelphidae.
UGCUAUAUUUAUUUAAAGGGGGAAAAAAUUGAGCUUACUUUUUGCAGCUGUGAAAUGUAGACUCAAAAUAACUAUUUAAAGCUGACUUAGGGAUAGUCACAAAAGUAAAGGAAAAGUUAAGAAAAGUAGAAAGAUUGAGGGUAUUUUGUCAUAACCAAUGUGGUCUGCCAAAUAAAAUGUAAGGGGAAAAGAGGGGUUAUUUAUAUGAAGAUUAGACUGAAUUAUAUUUAAAAUAAGGUCACCAGGAAAUUAAUUUAUUCCAAAAGAGAUUUAUAUACAAAUAUAGAAAGAGUGAAGAAAUUCAGAGAGAGAAUAGGGUAAAAUAUCUAGCCUAAGCACUAAGUAAAUUACUCCAGACCCCUGGCUCAACUCAGGCAGAGAGAGUUAGACCUUGGGCCUUGGCAAAACCAAGGACCUCAGGAAGUCUUUCCUGAGGCUAGUCUCUUCAGAAAAUCCAAUAUGAAAGGAGUCAGCCUUUCACUCACCAAGUCUUGGGUCCAGUCAGCAGAUUCUCCACCAGCCUCUACUCCAAAGAAAGAAAGAACUCCCAGUAGAACUCCACUCAGAGACGACAAUACAAAAAGAGCCAUUUCACAGUGCUAAAGAAGCACAAAGCGACUUGCAUAGUGCCAAUCAAGCACAAGGUCAAAGAGACCAAACCAAUCCUAUGUGGACUGAUGACAUUCUGUGCAAAGAGCUCAAGGACUUGAUCAUGUGUGCGACCAGAGGUUGCGACUGCGACUGUUUAACAUGCGCUAAAUGCAGGAUUUCCUUGAACCACACACUCUAUAUCAAAUAUAUGACAUCAAUUAUUCUGUCUCUAUCUUGGCUCCCAUUUGCUACUAUCAUCUAGUCCCUUUUCUCUUUUAUAGUAUGGCAAAUUGCUGUAGUCUUGGAUGCAAAUGGGUAAAUGAAAUA